Molecule: ribosomal RNA, 376 nt
Filed under: uncultured bacterium
Lineage: Bacteria
Description: bacterial SSU rRNA
Rfam family: Bacterial small subunit ribosomal RNA
Source: RNAcentral
CGACUUUACAGUCGUGAGGAAGGUGGUAGUGUUAAUAGCACUAUCAUUUGACGUUAGCGACAGAAGAAGCACCGGCUAACUCCGUGCCAGCAGCCGCGGUAAUACGGAGGGUGCGAGCGUUAAUCGGAAUUACUGGGCGUAAAGCGCAUGCAGGUGGUUUGUUAAGUCAGAUGUGAAAGACCCGGGGCGUCAACCUCGGAAUAGCAUUUGAAACUGGCAGACUAGAGUACUGUAGAGGGGGGUAGGAAUUUCAGGUGUAGCGGUGAAAUGCGUAGAGAUCUGAAGGAAUACCGGUGGCGAAGGCGGCCCCCUCGGACAGAUACUGACACUCAGAUGCGAAAGCGUGGGGAGCAAACAGGAUUAGAUACCCUGGUAG